CAGCUUCUCUCAUGAAUUGUUUGGCAGCGUCAUCCCAUAUUGCUGGAACUGUAAAAAACCCAUCGGAUAUCUUUUAUAUCUACGCCACUGCCGUACAUCCUCUCAGUACAAGACUGCAUCAUAUGAUCUUUCAGCAUCAUCUUAAACCUUCUGAAGUAGAACCAGUCAUGAUGUUCGUUGUCCAAGGCCAGGUCGCUGUAUCUGUCCUCAGCUUCGAACCCAAAAGAGUCGAACUGACCAUUUGGCCGGAAGAGAACACAAGAAGAAGUCUUCAGUGAGAUCGAUACUCUUGACCCUGUUGUCCAUGAACUUGCGCAUAUUUUAAGCAGAUCGUGUUCAAACUCGUGUGGAAAUGAAAAGGCGUAACCGGAAUAGGUUGUGCCAAAAUCGAUGGCUGCAACUAGUAGUGUUGAAUCUCUUGACAUGAUUUUAUACCUUUAAAAGAAACACUGAAUACAUUAUCCUCUGGGAAAAAUAAUUUCAUUACAAAGUGUUGACACCGAUCGUUCUUACGACGAGCAAGUGAAAAAUGAAAUAUUCACUUGUAAGAUCCCAUCAGUUUAAAAGCAUUCUUUCUCCGAACUGGUGAAAAAGAGAGGAAUAGCAUAUUAACAUACAUCAUAUACCCUGAUCCAUACCUACCCGUUUGAAGGAAAUAGUUGGAAAAUGGCAUUUAGUUUCUGUUUCUGAUAUGAAUAGUUAACUUCCCUGUACUAAUUCCAUGAAAUGAUUUGUUUUUUCAGAUUACAAUUUUCUUCCUUAUUUGCAAACCUAUUUCAUUGAUAAAAUUUAUUUCAUUGUUUUCAUGUAUGAACAAUAACAAAUUUGAUAUUUUAUUACUCUGUAUACUCAUUUAAAACUAGCGUACUUGGUCAAUUAUAAUCAUUCUUGUUUUAGUAGGCGAAAGAGCCUUUUUGGUACAUCUCCAUUAAGUACGAAUAAUAUAUACGUGUUUAUUAGAAAUAUUUGUGAACAAUUAAAACAGUCCCAUUGUAUAGAUAUGUGUUUGGAUCAAUCACAUAUGAAUAUAAGCAUGUUAUAACGCGAUAAAAAUAGUCACUGCCUAACUUAUAAACCUUGCUUACAACAAGAAAUAAUAGUAAACUAUUUGCAAUUUACUUCCUCUUUAUUUUCAACGAACUCUGUACGGUUUCGUAGAAGCCGCCCGGGCAUGCCCCACUUAUGAUCUUGUGAUUACAAUGGCAGACUUUUACACACAACACAUUCACGUUAAAAUGGCACAAAAGGAUAGCAGAGUACUUCAGCCCAAAUUUGAUGUGAUAACAUUUUCUGAUUGAAGUAAGGGAACGGAGAGUGUUGAUGUACAUGAAGAUGAUUAAUUGACACUACAUCUUUAUAAACCAAAAGGAAUGUUUCGUGUGAAGUCAACAAAGUACAGCUCUUAGACAUGGUUUGUUUCGGAGAUACCUCGACAUGCAGCAGUGAUUUAAAAGUACCAUUAUCUGACAUUUCAAAAUACUACUGUCUUACUUUUCUAUUACAUAUUAAUCCUCGACAAACUUUCAAACUUAGAAAUUUGUUAGGAAAAAAAUUCUUGUCCAUGCACAUAUGAUAAUAAACAAACAACGGACGAAACGGAGAACAAACGUUACAUUAAACUUGCGUACUAUCACGUGAAAUACUUUUGCAGUUCUAUUGUAGCAUUACGUUCAUAACAACUGGAUACAUCAUGACUUCUUUAUCAUAGAUAUCAGAAAUAGUGAAAUGGAAAUAUUCCGAAUAAAAUUUGCUGUUUGUGCUCUAGUGAAUGAUUCUUAUUCUUGUGAUGACAAAAAAAAGUUGGAUAUUACAUGUUAAUAUAUGGAUUUUAUUCUUGGAGGUAGGUUUAUUUUCAAAUACAUAAGAAGAACUGCUUUACUCUGUAUGUCCGCAAAAUUUUUUUGACCUACCGUUAUUUUUUGUUUUGUUUUGUUUUUACGUAGUUUACUUUAAUCUCGAAAAAAAUUCCAUUUACAAUUACAAAGGGUAACUAUAACUUGUAUCUGAAAUUUCUGUGUUGGUAGUUUAAUUAUUUAAGGCAAUCCAAAAAUUACUUUCCUGUUAUCUUUUGAUUUGAUACAUCUGUAAGUUACGUUAUAUUUACACUAAUAAGAACAGUUACUAAUAUUUCAAAUCCUGGACUUACAAAUGUAUAUAAUUAAAUAAAAAUAGAAUUAUUAGAAUGUUUCAAUAAAAUAUUUCAUUUAA
Molecule: long non-coding RNA, 2208 nt
Organism: Mercenaria mercenaria
Lineage: Eukaryota; Metazoa; Mollusca; Bivalvia; Venerida; Veneridae
Exons: 3
Source: RefSeq, a predicted model, not a curated record